Cricetulus griseus (Chinese hamster) is the source of this 206-nucleotide non-coding RNA. Lineage: Eukaryota; Metazoa; Chordata; Mammalia; Rodentia; Cricetidae. The record is from RefSeq and is a predicted model, not a curated record.
UUUUACUCGAACUCACAGGGAUCUGCCUGCUUCUGUCUCCCAAGUGCUGGUAUUAAAGGUGCUGCCCUUUUUCAUCCCAUUCCUUCUUUCUAGAGCAUUUCGGCACCAAUCACAUUUGUACAGCUCAUUUUCCUGCUUGAUAUUUUUUUUAUUACAAAUGAGCUUCUUAGUUUCUGGAGGUCCCAUUUAUCAAUUGUAGUUCUCAG